UACGUAGGGUGCGAACGUUGUCCGGAUUUACUGGGCGUAAAGAGUAUGUAGGUGGCCCCAUAAGUGAGAGAUUAAAGACCAACGCUUAACGUUGGAACUGUUUCUCAUACUGUAGGGCUGGAGGAUGGCAGGGGUGCAUGGAACUUUGAGUGUAGGAGUGAUAUCCGUAGAUAUUCAAAGGAACACCAAUGGCGAAGGCAGUGCACUGGGCCAUAUCUGACACUGAGAUACGAAAGUGUGGGGAGCAAAC
This 250-nucleotide ribosomal RNA is filed under the name uncultured bacterium. Its description in RNAcentral is "partial 16S ribosomal RNA". It matches the Rfam family "Bacterial small subunit ribosomal RNA", at positions 524 to 773 of the family's 1533-position model. The record is from RNAcentral.